UAGGGAAUCUUCGGCAAUGGACGGAAGUCUGACCGAGCAACGCCGCGUGAGUGAAGAAGGUUUUCGGAUCGUAAAGCUCUGUUGUUAGAGAAGAACGUUGGCAGGAGUGGAAAAUCUACCAAGUGACGGUAACUAACCAGAAAGGGACGGCUAACUACGUGCCAGCAGCCGCGGUAAUACCUCGGUCCCGAGCGUUGUCCGGAUUUAUUGGGCGUAAAGCGAGCGCAGGCGGUUCGUUAAGUCUGAAGUUAAAGGCAGUGGCUUAACCAUUGUACGCUUUGGAAACUGGAGGACUUGAGUGCAGAAGGGGAGAGUGGAAUUCCAUGUGUAGCGGUGAAAUGCGUAGAUAUAUGGAGGAACACCGGUGGCGAAAGCGGCUCUCUGGUCUGUAACUGACGCUGAGGCUCGAAAGCGUGGGGAGCAAACAGG
RNAcentral lists this ribosomal RNA (429 nucleotides) under Bacillota bacterium. RNAcentral describes it as "Firmicutes bacterium partial 16S ribosomal RNA". It matches the Rfam family "Bacterial small subunit ribosomal RNA", at positions 355 to 776 of the family's 1533-position model. The record is from RNAcentral. Lineage: Bacteria; Bacillati; Bacillota.